GACGAACGCUGGCGGCGUGCUUAACACAUGCAAGUCGAACGGAAAGGCCCUGCUUUUGUGGGGUGCUCGAGUGGCGAACGGGUGAGUAACACGUGAGUAACCUGCCCUUGACUGUGGGAUAACUUCAGGAAACUGGGGCUAAUACCGGAUAGGAGCUCCUGCUGUAUGGUGGGGGCUGGUAAGUUUCGGCGGUUGGGGAUGGACUCGCGGCUUAUCAGCUUGUUGGUGGGGUAGUGGCUUACCAUGGCUUUGACGGGUAGCCGGCCUGCGAGGGUGACCGGCCACAUUGGGACUGGAAUACGGCCCAGACUCCUACGGGAGGCAGCAGUGGGGAAUAGUGCACAAUAGGCGGAAGCCUGAUGCAGCAACGCCGCGUGCGGGAUGACGGCCUUCGGGUUGUAAACCGCUUUCGCCUGUGACGAAGCGUGAGUGACGGUAAUGGGUAAAGAAGCACCGGCUAACUACGUG
Molecule: ribosomal RNA, 468 nt
Filed under: uncultured bacterium
Lineage: Bacteria
Description: partial 16S ribosomal RNA
Rfam family: Bacterial small subunit ribosomal RNA
Source: RNAcentral